AAUCUUAAAAACCCUCAUUAGACCUAAAAUUCUACUUUCUAAGAUCUUGACCCACUUAAACCUCAAUAUCUUUUAAUUCAACUGUUAGAUCGAGCUCAAAUUUACAAUACAUAUUGAACACAACUACAACCAUAAACUUACAAAAUUUCAUCCAUAGAUCUACUACAAAACUCUCAAAAUCAUCCAAAACAUAAACCCUAUUUUAUUUCAUAAAACCCAAGUCAUCUGAAACAAACCUUGACUUUGCAAAGCUCUUACAAAGUCAUAACAAUUCUAAAUCAUCCAAAUUCAAUGCAUAUAGAAAUCCUAUCCAAUCUGCUAUCAAAUCCCACUC
RNAcentral lists this long non-coding RNA (334 nucleotides) under Physcomitrium patens. Its description in RNAcentral is "long non-coding RNA (PPAT_LNC007097)". Lineage: Eukaryota; Viridiplantae; Streptophyta; Bryopsida; Funariales; Funariaceae. The record is from RNAcentral.